Cephus cinctus (wheat stem sawfly) is the source of this 6066-nucleotide RNA transcript. RefSeq lists it as uncharacterized. The record is from RefSeq and is a predicted model, not a curated record. Lineage: Eukaryota; Metazoa; Arthropoda; Insecta; Hymenoptera; Cephidae. The transcript has 6 exons.
GAUACACAUCUUUCCUUUGGAAACAAAGCUUCAGCUUCUUACCCAAUCAUUCAAAUCGUCCUGGAUCAAGCAACGAGUAGGUCGAACUAAUUAAUUUAUAAAAGAAAGAAACAAAAAAAAAGAAGGUUUACCACCAAACCCACACUUAUUCAAGAUAUCAAUGCACAUGUGUUGUAUACCAAUUUUGUAUACCUACUUUACUACUACUCUACAUUAUCAACGGAGCUUCGAAAAAAAAAGUCAUUCCACUGAUUCUUCGUGGCGCCACUGAGCGAGUUUAACCCGAAAUAUUUCCUCUGACCUUAGAAGCAUAUUUCGCCGCCGGAAUAAUCGAGCCCCUAGAAAGCUCGUGGGUGUAUCGCAAUAUUUCGCCCCCAUGCAAGGCGUCACGGUAAAGCGCAAACUCGAGUAACCUGGAGCCGUUAUAUAUAUCGGGAGGCUCGACAUGUUUUCAAACAGUUGUCAGCCGCGUGAGCGCAGUUGGUGGUUGGUGGUUCUGGCAUCCAGGCGGGGUGCGCUUGGUCUGUCACCAUUGUCGUACUAGGAUAUAAUGUAUCGCGAAUGAUGGACGGAAAUGAGACCGGUCUCGAGUGCCACCAUUCUCUACAGUUAGAGUGCUACGAUGUCACAGAGUGCGAACAUUUCGAUAUACCAUUAACCCAUACCGACUCCUGCAUUAUUUGAUACUUGAGUUUUCCUUGAGUCGCAUUACAUUCGGACAACCCGCUGCGAUAAAAAUGGCUUGUCUUCUACCAAGCAGCAAGAUUUUUCGUCUCAAUGUCAUACCGGUACUUCAACGACAUUCGCGGGAGACAUGAAUUUCGAGUGUACAAGGAAUAACUUUGAGUGCGCAUUGGACGAUAGUUGUAAAAGCGUAUCCUGCAAUUUUAUUAGUAAACAAAAAGUAAUUAUUCUCAAACAAGCUUAAUGAUAUUAGGAUCAGCUUACUCAUUAAGUGAAGUGCACUUGUUCGCGAUAUAUAAGCUGUGUAAGCUAUAUCGAGGCACUAGUAGACUGUGCCUCGUACUAAAUAAUCGAAUUAUCUCUUGGUAAUAGUCUUAAGUGCGUUAUAGUGAGCGAGCGACGGGGAAAGUGAAAUAUUUUUGCUUGCAUGUCGUAUCUAUAGUCAGGGGAGUGGUACUUACAUGUUCUUGGGAUAUCGAAUUGUACGUAAUUCCCGAUGCUUCUGUACGAUAAUACGUGAUUAGUGUUUCGAUCGAGGGUUAUAUGGAAAUUUGAAAUUUUAGAGAAUUUGGCUCUUCCCGCACUUUUCGAAAUACACACGUAAAACAUAUCUUACGUUACAGCGCGUUGAAGUUCUGACGAUUGAGAUGGCUCAAUAAAACGCAAUGUAUAAAGGAAGUUGAAAACUAAAAAGGUGACAAGAAAUCUUGAAAUGGGUCGGAAAUAUAAACAGCGUCUGAUACCCGAGCAGGAUCGUAGAAUAUGCGGUAGUAUCUGUCUGUGCCAGUUUACCAUUGUGAUUAGUUGUGUGGCCUUGGUCUAUCUUAGCGUGGCGAUCUACAUGCCAUCUCACAGAGCAUUUCACGCAGGAAUCGAUCCGGACCCAGUUAUGUGCCAAACGGUGAAUACAACCUUGGUGAAUUAUUGCGCUUGGGCAAGUUGCGGUGAAUGGUGUUUAACGAAGACCACAGGAUUCUGUCCUCAAAUUCAUGCAACAGUACGGCGCAAUGGUACAGACGUACAUUUUGAGAAUUGUACAAAAAUAACGAGUAUGUCGUGUCCACAGGUAAACACAGCUGGACUCAAACGGUAUAAUUGCAACAAUGGCAGUGAGUGCAGUGUACUUUCUGGUGUUUUUAACUGCAGUCUUGGACAUUGCGCAAAUAUGAGCGAACUCAUGCUGUGCCAUUACAAAGCCGACGGGAUAGUCGUCGAUAGCGAAAAAGACAACAUGAAGCUCAAUGGGUUCUUUAGCUGCGAGCAUUCUCGAUGCACCAAAAUCAAAAGACCGUUUUCCUGCGAUCGCUACUGUCCUAAGAUCCCGACGAGCGACUCCAACGUUUUUAUCAUGCAGGACGACAACGUGAUAACUGCUAAGUGUAACCGGGCGAUCGCACUGAACAUGGCAAACGGGUCUCUGCCAGGUACGAGGCUGAAGGACCCUGUGGAAAUUUGGAAUCAGCAGAAAGGAGCCAUCAUAGCGAGUUGUCUGGUUGUCAUAGGCGGAGGGGGCACUGUCAAAACGGAGGAUUGCGUUAAUGGCACGCUUUUAGAAGACAAAGCCGUAACCAAGCCGUUCAUCAACUUUACCACCUUCCUUAGCCUCUACGAAAAGAGUCUGGCACAUCCUGUGGAUCCCACGGAUGUCUACGUGCCGUCUCAGAAUUCUCUGACCAUUUACAACAGUUCGCGACUCUACAUAAACCUCGAGGGUUGCGUAAAUACACUCAGGGGUGAGUGUCGGGAUUUUUUAGUCAGCCAUGGAAGAGACGGAGAUAAUCAGACUGCUCAGAGUAGAUAUCCAUGUUACUACAAUAGGAACGAUUCUUUCUUCGUGGUCGCCCGAUUCGAUCUCAACAAAACCCGGACUGAGCUCCUGGUCGCCAUUAUAGUACCUACGUUACUGUUCGUCGUGAGUCUGACGACCCUGGUCAUCAUAACCCGAUCGGUCCGGGUCGGCGACGAUGCAAAAAUGCGAUGUAGAUAUUGCACCGAGAAUCAAGAGAACGAGGGCGAGGACGAAGGCCUCGUAGAAGGGACGGCCACGUCGCUGCAGGGUCAUUCCAAUGAGAAUGAGGUCAGAAGCUUGGCCCUUUAGCAGUUUAAGUUCAGCGUCCAGAGUAUGGUCGACUACGAGAGAUUGCCACUGAUAGACGUCGAGGAUGAAGAUUCAUUUUAAGGGAUUUUUAAAGAUGAAUCAGAGGAGUCGGAACGAAGUUUGGCGAAGUUUCCCUAUACCUGGGAUCAAGUUUUCCCCGGAAACGCCGGCCUUGUUACAUUCUUGGACGUGGGUGAAAAUUUGAACUUGUCUCUAUUGGAAAAUUGUAAGUUAGUAGACUAGAGCACAAAGGAUGCAAAUAUGAUAGAGGGAAGUAAUGUAGGAGGACUAUGGUGUUUAUGUUACUUUAGUAUGAAAGAUUAGGUUAUUGAAUUCCUUAGGUAUUUCAUUUUCAUUCAGGGCUUCGUAUACUCGCAAACUAUUUAUACUUAUUAGUUGACGCGCUGUGCGAAUCGAGAAAGUCAAUAUCUAGAUUGAUUAUGUGUAGCGACGGUUUAUCAGGGAUCAGCGAAUGAUAUGAAACUUUCAUCCUCAUUGUAUCCGUAGUUGUGGAGGAUAACGCCAAAUUCUAGUGUUUUCCUGACGAUUGCCUUGACUGGUCGUUAGGCAAGUAUGAAAACGACGCUUAUUGCAUUAAAUCUGUCAGAUCUGUCGAGUACAUCAUAUACGGGAUUGAUAAGGCCUUUUCUAAUGUAUUGAUCUUGUCGAAAGUUACCCCGGUGGGGCCAAUUGUAUUCAGUAUCUUUAUAAAGUUGCCUUCAAUGUACCGCGACCACUUUGUAUUUUGAUGAACAAACAAAUGAUAUAUAUAUAUACACACUGUCAUACCAAAAUUAUAAAUAAUUGUAAUGUAAUACCGAUUUUAAUCAAUACCCAUCGAAAGACAGUUGCGAUAUUUAACUAAUGAUUUUUUCGGGUUAGGUAAACCUGAUGGAUGUAUAUGAUGUUUUAUACACGAUUUUUUAAUUUUACCGAUUAUCGAGAAAACUAGUAAUAACAAAGCAAACGAAUCACUCUAUGUGCAUGACAUGUCAAUCUGCAUAUAAAUAUAUGUCGCACAAUUGUUGGCUAGUAGACAGACAGUAUUCAAUAUGUAAUUCAUCGAUGACUUCUGGGAGCUUUCGAUGUUUUAGCACAAAAGUAAAGCAUGGAGUGUCGCGGAGGAUCAUUUGACCUUUGAGAAAAAAUAUUUUAUUCUAAGCAACUUGCAGUAUAUUUUAGGCAGGAUAAAAAGAAAUAAAUAUUUAUCGAUGAUCUACCAAAAAUAUUUCUUUUACAGAAAUUCCUUAUCCGCGACACACACCCAGUGCCAUUGCUACUAACUGCCGUUACGUACAAAGUCAUACGUUAUCAUAAACUGUAUAAACUUUUACAAGUAUCGAUUUUUGACAUACUACAUCGGUGUGAUAUAAUAUUCGAAAACACAAAAAAAAUUAUAGGAUAGAAAAAAUGAUAAGAAAAUUCAAGGCUUUAAUUUUUGGUAUUGAGGGAAGUGGGAGGUUAAUCUUGCAAUCACAACGUGAAUUGAUGUGCAGUAUAGCGACACGAAUUCUAUGGAAUCUCUAUGCUAACUCUAAACUAUUAAGUCUUAAGAUCGAUCAUUGAACUAGCAUUUAAUCAAAUUAUCUAGUAACGUUAAAGUUCGUGUCAGUUCCUAGAAUCGAUACUAGUUGAAUGUAUUAGGCUUUAGAAGCGUGACUCUUUAAAAGUAGAUGUUACGAAGUAACCUUUUGAAAGUAUACAUACUACGUAUACAUAAAAUUUACAGUAUGUACGAAGAGAUCCACGCGAUCGUUAAUUAAGAUUUAAUUAAAAUGUCACGCAGUACGUGAAAAUCUAUAUCGACCUAUGGAAACGUUGGAUCUAAUGUUUUUACUGUACUUUACGUGAUUGCCUAACAAAUUGAAAUUUUCGCCUUAGGAAUUCGGACUAUAUACAUACAACUAUACUGUAAUCUAUGUGCCUUCUUCCGUUUAUGCUACUAUUGUCUAUAUCGCUAUACUUGUCCUACGGAUCAUGUUCAAUAUGCAUGUACGCAUGUGUAUUUCAAGAACGUGCAACGUUACGUACUCGUGAGGAUCGAUGAUGCAAGGUCCGUUAAUGAGAAAAAAUUCAAAUCGAUAAGACUUCGAAGACAGUAUGGAAUAUGAGGUGUAAGAAAGUGUAAACGAAGAAGGCUAUCUCGUGCAAAAGAUGCACGACCCUUUGUACGAGUAACGAGUGUAGAAUUCCAUGAAGUUGUUAACGGGAAAAGGUAUUAGCCUAGAUUACAGUAGCUCUUCGCUGAAAGUAUUGGGGGCAUAGAGGUGGUCGAUACCGUGUUGUAUGAGUCCUUCGGGCCAUGUGCACAGACGAAUCACGAAUCGAUGAGAAAUGAGAAUGUCUAGCAAGUCGAAUUCUGUUCUCAGUGGAUAAGGAAGCCAGUAAGUAGUUUUCUAUUCUUUGGACGACAAUCAAUGCUCCUCUGCGAAGUAACUACGAACUUACUUUGCAGUGGGAAUAGUCGGUAAAUACGUGUAUGCACCACGCAAAGUUGUUCAGUUCGUCGUCAUUGUUAUCGAUAACGGCACAACUUGAAUGUUCACUGUCCGGGGACAUACUAGAAGUUAUUGUAAGUAAAUAUUGUCUUACAAGUAAAUAUUUUAUUUGAGAUGUAUUUCUGGAUAUUGAUAUCAAUGUCCAAGAGCCUGAUUUACAGAAUAGCAAGCAGAUUACUAGACCAGUUUUAGAAAUUAAAUGUGUUGAUCCUAUUAGAUGUAGAUGGACUACCAUGUAUUCGAGUAAACAUGCUGUUGGCCCGGAUCGAAGGGAUGCUUCGAAGGUGACAGAUAUACCCGAACAUUUUUGAGAAGGUUACUUGAAUCUACAUAAAAGAUGUGCAUCUCUAUUUUCAAUGUCGGAGAUCAGUAGGGAGAUCCACAAUGUUGCAUUAGGCGAUACCGAAAUCAUGGCGCUAAAUCGUAGCGGCGAGUCUGCCAGUAGAAUUAUGUGAUUAUCGCCUCCGUCGACAAUGCGUAUCCAAGCCGAGCAAAACGUGAACACGAUCGUGGAGCUUGGCGGGCAGAGGUUCUCCGCUACUCAUCGCUGGUUCCCAAAGCAACUCUUAGAACGAGACCGGAAACUAUACAACUUCUUAAGAUCUACUGAAAAAGCCUAUUGUUGAAACAUUUUUUAGACACUUUUAAGAAAGUGCGGUAACAUCUUGACACCCGUGUAGCACCUUAAUUUUUACUAAAUAUUAUUGGAUCUUGAUUUACUUGAGAUUUUUCUCCCUAGUCCUCUACGCGACAGCCGCGGGACUCGGAGGUUUCCUAAAAAAAAAA